CCUGUGGGCAAUCAUCCCCAAUCAGUUCUAUUCAGUAAUACACAGUAAUGAUAGUUCACCCCCACAUUGAUUUGUAGUAGAGGAGAUUUGAUACAGCAAAUCUUCCACUUCAUGUGAAACAAAGGACAAAAGAUUUAUUAUUUACUGCUUCUUAACAGGUGAAAUCCAAAUUAUUAUGUUGAAAUGCACCAGAACAUGGUACAUGACCUAUCCACAUGGCCUGUUGUAUUAUAAGGGAAACAGCAUGUAACACACAUUACAAGGUAUUGUUAGAUGCAGACGAACAAACUGUUUCAAGGCCAGCCAAUUAUAUUAGCCUAAUUCAUUAGGACGUGGUACCUGAUCAUGUAUAUAAAGUUGUUUUCGAGUAAUUAAAAAUUUAGAUGCCAUUAGUUUCUUUGCAGAUGUGACUUUCUUUUUUGGUAUGUAUUAUUAAAGCCUAUCACUCGAAAAUUUCUUUUCUGAUUGACUGUCUGUCUAUUUGUCCACAGCACAUAUCAAGAAUAAAAGAAACUAACUAUUGAUUUGAAAUUUUGCAUGCAACCUCAGCGAAGCCUGUUACGUGACGCAUAGUGCAGCAUACUCCUACCUAGACCUUGUACUCGUAUAAAAGUACAUUCUAACUGAUGAGCUUGCUGACCACACAAUCAUUCCCCUAAACUACGUAUAUACAGAGUCUCUUCUAAAAAUGAAAUGAAAAGAGAUGCACUACAAGCACAAAAGAUGUUUUGUAACUACUGUGCUGUAUAAUGGUCUCAAGAUACUGAUAAUGAAGAAAGGGUAAUUAAUUGAAUUACCAGUGGUGUCAUUCAGCACUGCCAUAACUUCAAUGUGUGUGUCCCCUCGCCUCUCCAGCGCCUCUCGCAGCAGUUGCACAGCAUCCUCUCCUUCUACUCCUGACGCCUUAAAUGACUUAGUCCACGUCACUAGCAGGCCCGACGACAGGCUGCGCUGGUGCAUGGGGAAUGAAAAUGUAAAACCUUCAACAAAGAUCAAGACAAUUAGUAACAAAAUAAAAAACAGAAAAUUACAGGAAAGGGAGAGCUGAGACAAUUCCUGAUCCUCACACCACCUGCUCCCUGUCUUCAAGAAAACUGCUGAACCAAUCAAACACAACACCUUGAACACUAACUUUAAAAAAUAUAUUGUGGUUUAUUAGAUCGAAGACUUUUUUGUAAUCUAUGAAAAGUGGAGAAACUUUUCUGGAGUGGUUAAAGCUAUUAUAUAUGUUAUUUGUAAAUAUAUAAUAGUAAUAGUGCGUUUUCUGUCAAUUUCCCCUUUUGAAAGCCAAAAGUUUUCUCAUUCCAACUGAAACUGAGUUCUCACAUAGUUUUUGUUGUUGUUGCUAUCUUACAAACCACUGUGGCACUCAAUAUUUCAUGUGUUUUGUAUACCAUUUAAGAAUUGAAAAUGUCAAAUACAAUAUUGUUAUGUGAAUAUUGAUUCCACAUGCUGCACACACAAAGUCAUAGAUUCUAGAUGCUGCACUAAGAGGAAGAUAACUGGAGCUAAACUCAAGAUUCACAUUCAAUCGACCCUUCCCACCAUAGUUACGUUAUAUGAAUACUGUUAUGGUUUUACAUCUUUCUUAUAAAAAUAAAAUUUACAAAAAAUGAAUGUGAAUAUAGCAUAUAUACCCAGCAAUUAAAUAGAAUAAAGUGUUGUCCCAAACACAAAGUGCAUAAUUUAAAAAUGAUCAUGUACCCGUAUUUCAGGACUUAACUAAAACUAUCUGAAUAAGCUAGCCAUUUGAUGUAAUGACUUUUUUUUAGUAUAAAUACACAAGUAAAC
This 1791-nucleotide long non-coding RNA is filed under the name Homalodisca vitripennis (glassy-winged sharpshooter). RNAcentral's name for it is "uncharacterized LOC124359385". The record is from RNAcentral. Lineage: Eukaryota; Metazoa; Arthropoda; Insecta; Hemiptera; Cicadellidae.